CUCAGCCCCCGUAAUAUAGGGUUUGAGGCGAGGCAGAGAAUCCCAGUGGAGAGAGGGGAACCGGCCAGGCAGAGACGGCAAGGGCGGUUUGUUGCUCCCGUGCCUUGGGCCAGACUACACUCAAUCAUAGGAGCUACUGAAGAGAUGAGUCUUCAAUAAAGACUUAAAGGUUGAGACCGAGUCUGCAUCUCUCACAUGGAUAGGCAGAACAUUCCAGAUUGACUUUAGAGAAAGCUAUAACGUCUGCACCUGGCUGCAAGACAUCCUAAACUCUCUGUCCUAGUACAUAAAACACAAUUUUAUCGAUUUAAGGUUGUGCUGUUAUGUUAAAGCCUGUUUUGAAGUGAUUUGAACAAUUAUAAGCUUUAAUGUUUCUGAUUUCUGAUCUACACCUAUAAUUUCCAGUCACUGUGUUUAUAUAGCACCUGGUGCUAAAAGAGGACACUCGUUUAUGAACCCUAUGUUUUCAGAGUUUAGUAAACAGAGUAAAUACUAUCAUACUCACAGCCAACCUGUUUCUUCCUGCAACAGUAUAGUACAACACAAGUGUAUAGUACAUUGUAGCAUCAAUAUUUGAUUUUACUCAAUGGCUGUUUUUUUACCCCACAGUUUGUUUUUUUCAAACUUCAAAAGCAUACAGUAUAUGUUGCCAAAUGUAUUUUUAUUUAUUUUAUUUCACCUUUAUUUAACCAGGUAGGCAAGUUGAGAACAAGUUCUCAUUUACAAUUGUGACCUGGCCAAGAUAAAGCAAAGCAGUUCGACAACAUACAAAAACACAGAGUUACACAUGGACUAAAACAACAUACAAUCAAUGAUACAGUAGAAAAAUAAGACUAUAUACAAUGUGAGAUAAGGGAGGUAAAGGCAAAAAAGGCCAAAUGAACAACUCUAUCAGUGAAAGCCUCCUCUCAUGUUGACAAGCUUUUGAAAACCGCUUUGGUUAGACUUUUCCCGAAAGCACGUCCCAAUAGAAAGUGUUUCUAUAUUCUUCCUGUAUAUUUUAGGUAUACUCUGCUGUUCUUACCUCAUCAGGACUACAGUAGCACAACAAACUUGCUGUGUUUUAAAUUGCUAAUGGUAAAGAAAGAGCUCAGCUAUAUCAUUUUUUGCAUACUUUGUAUAUGCUUAAAUAUUAGUAUAUUUAGAGGUUUACAUACCUCAGAUGUAUAUAAAAUGUUCACAGUAUUUAUAUUGAUUGUCUGGAAGGGGAAUAGUAUUUUGUACUGUAUGUGUUCAUUGUGUUAAACUCGGCUGUGCUAAUAUUGCAAGACAAUAGUAAGAGUUUGAUUGUAAUUGUAUUUCUACUUCAGUAGACAGUUCACACAUCAUUUCCCCCAUUAUCCUCUUUUCAUAUGUGGGUUCUUUGUUAAAAAUGAACAAUUUAUUGAUGCUGUUAUAUAAUAUUGAUAAACAUAGAUACUGUUUUGUCCUCUGCGUAUCUAAAUUGUUAUGUGUAGGCCAAACCUUCACUGUUUGCAGUUUGACAGUGCUGAAUAGAAUAGGACUGAACUCAAAUACCUGGCCACUCCUCUGGCCACUCCUCUACCCUUGCGCUUCUGGAACAGUAAUUUCGCUAACGGCCCUACAUAAACACUCCAUUUAGAAUACCUUCUAUCCAAAGUGAAGGAUGAAAGUCUCUUCCAGACAGUACAUCCAAAUGCGGUUUUAGGCUGUAACUGAGGUAUAAACCAGAUUCAUUGUCACUUCAAGUUCCCUCUAGUGUUGAUUGAAGCUAUGAACAUGGAGUGGACUUAAGGCCUUUUUUGUAGUCUUAUUUAAGAUGCAAGUCGCUAACUUUAGCAACCUUCAAAGGUGGUCUCAACAAGUGGCUUUGCAUGACUUCUCAAUUCUGACUUCCGCUAAUUCUCAUCUGAAAACACCAGUGGUCUGCUUUCAGCAAAUGAGUCACCUGAAUUACUGUGUUGACCUGUGUUUUGGUCUGUGGAAAUGUUAAGCUUAAACAUAAUUAGAUUUUUUUAUCAACUAGACUAUUGUUAAAGUACGUUAUGUGUAAAAUGGUAUUUAUGUUAUGCUCUAAAUUAUGUUUGUUUCAAUCACUUCAACAUUAUUUAUUGAAUAUCUUCAUUGUUUUUUGUUUUAAUAAAAUGCCCUAAUGCUGAAUAGUAUUUGUCAGAGUAUGAUGGAUUGUGUUGAAGCUGCAUGUAUAGAACAUCUGCAUUCUGAUAGCAAUGUGCUGCAGGUAUAGAACAUCUGCAUUCUGAUAGCAAUGUGCUGCAGGUAUAGAACAUCUGCAUUCUGAUAGCAAUGUGCUGCAGGUAUAGAACAUCUGCAUUCUGAUAGCAAUGUGCUGCAGGUAUAGAACAUCUGCAUUCUGAUAGCAAUGUGCUGCAGGUAUAGAACAUCUGCAUUCUGAUAGCAAUGUGCUGCAGGUAUAGAACAUCUGCAUUCUGAUAGCAAUGUGCUGCAGGUAUAGAACAUCUGCAUUCUGAUAGCAAUGUGCACCUAUUUCCCUCAAGUGUUCUUGUUGCACCCAACCUGCACACAGAAAAUCUCUUUGGAGGGUUUCAAUUGAUUUUCUCUUUCAAAGCGAAAGGUGCGUCUUCCUGCUUUGGUUUUAUUUUAUUGAAAGGAAAUAAUAUAUACUGCACUGCAAUAGAAACCACAGAUCAGUUCACAGUAUAGUGCAUCUUCAUUGUCUCCCAGUUCUUUUAGGGACGUUUUGCCAACGAUUUGCAAGAGAGUGACCAAAACUAUUCUCUUUCCUUUUUCCUUGCCCUAUAUAAUACUGAACAAUAUUUUUGCCAUGUUGUUACUGCAAACUCCUAGAAACAUUUCUAUGAAUGUUAAAAUAAUAAUUUUAUGUGUGUAAAUGGUAACAAGAAUAGGCCUACCAUCAUAAAAGUAAAAAACAUGUAUGUAAUUUAUGUAGAAAUGCAACUACAAUUAAAGAUUUAUUUCACGAAUUUAA
Salmo salar (Atlantic salmon) is the source of this 2929-nucleotide non-coding RNA. The record is from RefSeq and is a predicted model, not a curated record. NCBI's taxonomy places the organism in Eukaryota, Metazoa, Chordata, Actinopteri, Salmoniformes, Salmonidae.